CCUGAGCCUGUGUGAACAGAAUCCAUCUUGGUCCAUCAGGGUAAGCUGCACCCUGCAGUGAGCCAUCAGAAAUAAUCUGUGUCUUAACCAUUACCUCAUCUGAAAACAUUCAGAAAAUGUUUGGGGGCCUGAGGGAAGAUGAGCACCAUGGUUACUGAAGAUGCACAUACCUGGAGAAGGCACAUUCUUGUGACCGGUUGCCCCAGGUCACAGGCAUCCAGGCCUAAGGCUGCCCCUCCAACCAGGAAGUACCUGUGGAGUGCCAGAGUGGAGCCUGGAUGGCUGUGGAGGAGAAGCCCAGGUGCACACAUUGCCCAGAUGGGCUUCAACUAGAAGGGUAAGCACAUGAAUUAGUCCAGCCCAAGACUUGGUAUCCAGUUUUCCACAUUGCAUGUAGGCUCUGUGUAAUGCUUUCAGUCUCGUUUCCUAACCCACCCCUGCCUUCUCAGUCCUUCAGCAUUUCGUGAUCAUUGCCUCUCCCCAAUCCCCAAGUCCUUCUGCACAGCAGCCCCCAUCUCACAUUCAGUGGCUAGAGCAGGAUGAGCAACCGAGAGACCACAGG
RNAcentral lists this long non-coding RNA (562 nucleotides) under Homo sapiens (human). Its description in RNAcentral is "long non-coding RNA NONHSAT236710". The record is from RNAcentral. Lineage: Eukaryota; Metazoa; Chordata; Mammalia; Primates; Hominidae.